RNAcentral lists this ribosomal RNA (805 nucleotides) under uncultured bacterium. Its description in RNAcentral is "bacterial SSU rRNA". It matches the Rfam family "Bacterial small subunit ribosomal RNA", at positions 10 to 797 of the family's 1533-position model. The record is from RNAcentral.
AGUUUGAUCAUGGCUCAGGAUGAACGCUGGCGGCGUGCCUAAUACAUGCAAGUCGAGCGAACAGACGAGGAGCUUGCUCCUCUAACGUUAGCGGCGGACGGGUGAGUAACACGUGGAUAACCUACCUAUAAGACUGGGAUAACUUCGGGAAACCGGAGCUAAUACCGGAUAAUAUAUUGAACCGCAUGGUUCAAUAGUGAAAGACGGUUUUGCUGUCACUUAUAGAUGGAUCCGCGCCGCAUUAGCUAGUUGGUAAGGUAACAGCUUACCAAGGCAACGAUGCGUAGCCGACCUGAGAGGGUGAUCGGCCACACUGGAACUGAGACACGGUCCAGACUCCUACGGGAGGCAGCAGUAGGGAAUCUUCCGCAAUGGGCGAAAGCCUGACGGAGCAACGCCGCGUGAGUGAUGAAGGUCUUCGGAUCGUAAAACUCUGUUAUUAGGGAAGAACAAAUGUGUAAGUAACUAUGCACGUCUUGACGGUACCUAAUCAGAAAGCCACGGCUAACUACGUGCCAGCAGCCGCGGUAAUACGUAGGUGGCAAGCGUUAUCCGGAAUUAUUGGGCGUAAAGCGCGCGUAGGCGGUUUUUUAAGUCUGAUGUGAAAGCCCACGGCUCAACCGUGGAGGGUCAUUGGAAACUGGAAAACUUGAGUGCAGAAGAGGAAAGUGGAAUUCCAUGUGUAGCGGUGAAAUGCGCAGAGAUAUGGAGGAACACCAGUGGCGAAGGCGACUUUCUGGUCUGUAACUGACGCUGAUGUGCGAAAGCGUGGGGAUCAAACAGGAUUAGAUACCCUGGUAGUCCA